GACGAACGCUGGCGGCGUGCCUAACACAUGCAAGUCGAACGGAAAGGCCCUGAUUUUGUGGGGUGCUCGAGUGGCGAAGGCGGGAGUAACACGUGUGUAUCCUGCACUUGUCUUUGGGAUAACAUCAGGAAACUGGGGCUAAUACAGGAUAGGAGCUUCUGCUGCAUGGUGGGGGUUGGAAAGUUUCGGCGGUUGGGGCUGGACUCGCGGCUUAUCAGCUUGUUGGUGGAGUAGUGGAGUCCCAAGGCUUUGAAUGGUAGGCGGCAUGAGAGGGUGACCAGGGUCAAGGGGACUGAGAGACGGCCCAGACGCCAACGUGAGGCAGUGGGCGGGAAUAUGACACAGCGGGCCGAAGCCUGAUACAGCAACGCUGCGUGCGUGAUGACGGCCUUCGGGUUAUAAACCGCUUUCGCCUGUGACGUAGCGUUAGUGACGGUAAUUAGUAAAGAAGCACCGGCUAACUACGUG
Molecule: ribosomal RNA, 468 nt
Filed under: uncultured bacterium
Lineage: Bacteria
Description: partial 16S ribosomal RNA
Rfam family: Bacterial small subunit ribosomal RNA
Source: RNAcentral